Molecule: ribosomal RNA, 427 nt
Filed under: uncultured bacterium
Lineage: Bacteria
Description: bacterial SSU rRNA
Rfam family: Bacterial small subunit ribosomal RNA
Source: RNAcentral
AUUGAACGCUGGCGGCAUGCCUUACACAUGCAAGUCGAACGGCAGCACGGGAGCAAUCCUGGUGGCGAGUGGCGAACGGGUGAGUAAUAUAUCGGAACGUGCCCAGUCGUGGGGAUAACGUAGCGAAAGCUACGCUAAUACCGCAUACGAUCUAUGGAUGAAAGCGGGGGAUCGCAAGACCUCGCGCGAUUGGAGCGGCCGAUAUCAGAUUAGGUAGUUGGUGAGGUAAAGGCUCACCAAGCCGACGAUCUGUAGCUGGUCUGAGAGGACGACCAGCCACACUGGGACUGAGACACGGCCCAGACUCCUACGGGAGGCGGCAGUGGGGAAUUUUGGACAAUGGCGCAAGCCUGAUCCAGCAAUGCCGCGUGCAGGAUGAAGGCCUUCGGGUUGUAACUAGCUUUGUUACGGUAACGAACGGUAGAGC